UGGGGAAUAUUGCACAAUGGGCGCAAGCCUGAUGCAGCCAUGCCGCGUGUAUGAAGAAGGCCUUCGGGUUGUAAAGUACUUUCAGCGGGGAGGAAGGCGAUAAGGUUAAUAACCUUGUCGAUUGACGUUACCCGCAGAAGAAGCACCGGCUAACUCCGUGCCAGCAGCCGCGGUAAUACGGAGGGUGCAAGCGUUAAUCGGAAUUACUGGGCGUAAAGCGCACGCAGGCGGUCUGUCAAGUCGGAUGUGAAAUCCCCGGGCUCAACCUGGGAACUGCAUUCGAAACUGGCAGGCUAGAGUCUUGUAGAGGGGGGUAGAAUUCCAGGUGUAUCGGUGAAAUGCGUAGAGAUCUGGAGGAAUACCGGUGGCGAAGGCGGCCCCCUGGACAAAGACUGACGCUCAGGUGCGAAAGCGUGGGGAGCAAACA
Molecule: ribosomal RNA, 427 nt
Filed under: uncultured bacterium
Lineage: Bacteria
Description: partial 16S ribosomal RNA
Rfam family: Bacterial small subunit ribosomal RNA
Source: RNAcentral